AUAGACUUUUUACAGUUACCACCCGCAAUGGAUUUCCUGGGGUAACAUGUCAUCUCUUAAAUUUGUAGGCCUUUUGUUACAGAUACCACCCGCUAUGGUAGGUACAUUCUUGAAAUAACCAGGCCUUGAAUCUUGAGCCGUGUUGCAGUCUAUCACCCUUAACGGGUUAGCUGAGAUAGUGUAAUGGGUUGCAGUCUACCACCCUUAAGGGGUUAGCUGAGAUAGUGUAAUGGGUUGCAGUCUACCACCCUUAACGGGUUAGCUGAGAUAGUGUAAUGGGUUGCAGUCUACCACCCAUAAAGGGUUAGCUGAGAUAGUGUAAUGGGUUGCAGUCUACCACCCUUAAGGGGUUAGCUGAGAUAGUGUAAUGGGUUGCAGUCUAUCACCCUUAAAGGGUUAGCUGAGAUAGUGUAAUGGGUUGCAGUCUACCACCCAUAAAGGGUUAAGGUCCUUGGCUCCCACUGAGGCUUUCACCUCAGCCACCGUGAUCAGAGUUAAUAGACGUGAACGCAGCAACCUUGAGUCGGUUGGAGUUUCC
Molecule: long non-coding RNA, 538 nt
Organism: Oncorhynchus tshawytscha (Chinook salmon)
Lineage: Eukaryota; Metazoa; Chordata; Actinopteri; Salmoniformes; Salmonidae
Source: Ensembl